UGUGGGAAAGCAGCUACACACUUUGGGCACAGGCUCUACCCCAUUGGGGAAGGUGCUCAUGACUGUAAGGAGGAACUAAAGAAUGCAUUGGUGCCAUUGAAAGAGAAGUUACCCUAUACAAGAAGGCAAAAACGGUCUGUGAGGAAAUGGCAGAACAUGUCAAGAACCAAGUUGAACAUACUGAAACACAGAUCAAAGAGGACUUUAAAUCCCUGCACUGUUUCCUGAAAGAGCAGGAGGCUGCCAGACUU
This is a long non-coding RNA of Larimichthys crocea (large yellow croaker), 251 nucleotides long. RefSeq lists it as uncharacterized. Lineage: Eukaryota; Metazoa; Chordata; Actinopteri; Sciaenidae. The transcript has 3 exons. The record is from RefSeq and is a predicted model, not a curated record.